GGUGUUGUGGUCUAGUGGAUAAGUCUACUGGCUUUGAACCACAAGGUACGGGAUUCAAAUCCCUGCCAUAUCU
This 73-nucleotide transfer RNA is filed under the name Strongylocentrotus purpuratus (purple sea urchin). It matches the Rfam family "tRNA". From Rfam's summary of the family: Transfer RNA (tRNA) molecules are approximately 80 nucleotides in length. Their secondary structure includes four short double-helical elements and three loops (D, anti-codon, and T loops). The record is from Rfam by way of RNAcentral. Lineage: Eukaryota; Metazoa; Echinodermata; Echinoidea; Camarodonta; Strongylocentrotidae.